Molecule: ribosomal RNA, 129 nt
Filed under: Propithecus coquereli (Coquerel's sifaka)
Lineage: Eukaryota; Metazoa; Chordata; Mammalia; Primates; Indriidae
Source: RNAcentral
GUCUAUGGCCAUAACACCCUGAAUGAACCCAAUCUCAUCUUAUCUUAGAAGCUAAGCUGGGUUGGGCCUGGUUAGUAUGUGGAUGGGUAGAUCUGGGAGACUGCCUGGGAAUACCAGAUGCUGUAGGUU